Molecule: non-coding RNA, 30 nt
Filed under: Mus musculus (house mouse)
Lineage: Eukaryota; Metazoa; Chordata; Mammalia; Rodentia; Muridae
Source: RNAcentral
UGCAUUACUCUGAGGUGUUCUUUUGCUGGC